AGUUUGAUCCUGGCUCAGGAUGAACGCUAGCGGCAGGCUUAAUACAUGCAAGUCAAGGGGGUAGCAAUACAACCGGCGCACGGGUGAGUAACGCGUACACAACAUACCAUAUACUGGAGUAUAGCUUUGGGAAACUGAAGGUAAUCCCCCCAUAACAUUGCGAGAGGGCAUCUGAUUGCAAUUAAAGUUUCGACGGUAUAUGAUUGAUGUGCGUUUGAUUAGCUUGUUGGUAGGGUAACGGCCUACCAAGGCGACGAUCAAUAGCUGGCGUGAGAGCGCGACCAGCCACACUGGAACUGAGACACGGUCCAGACUCCUACGGGAGGCAGCAGUAGGGAAUAUUGGACAAUGGGCGAAAGCCUGAUCCAGCCAUGCCGCGUGAUAGAUGAAGGCCCUCUGGGUUGUAAAUAUCUUUUAUCUGGGAAGAAACAAUCUUAUUCUUAAGAUCUUGACGGUACCAGAGGAAUAAGCACCGGCUAACUCCGUG
Molecule: ribosomal RNA, 487 nt
Filed under: uncultured bacterium
Lineage: Bacteria
Description: bacterial SSU rRNA
Rfam family: Bacterial small subunit ribosomal RNA
Source: RNAcentral